GUUUUACGCAGAGCCACUGAAAUUACAAAUGAGCAACUUAAAAACAAAAAAUAAUAAACGCGGUUAGUCUACACGAGUUCAGCAAGACGGCAUCCUCUCCCAAGAAUGAAAGAAGCCUGGAUACCUCUUCAUAAUGCCCAGUUUUCCUGGCCCCCUCACCCUCCAUUGAGCGUGCCUCUCCAGCCGCUGGCCCAGGCCCAGGCCCAGGCCCAGGCCCAGGCGCUCUCCUCCCGUUCGGUCCUCCUGAAUGUGACCUGGCCACAAGGCACUCUGCUCUGACUCGGCUGCUAUUUGUCGUGAAGGGGUGAUGGAUUGUCGCGCUCCUCGCAGCAUCAAGCCCCGUCCACGCUGCUUCGGCGGUGUCUCCACCAGCCGACCAUGGAAAAUGAAGGUCAAGCAUUUUCCACAUUAGCAGCUUUACCAGGAGGGUAGAAAUGGAUAUCUGCUGCAAUUACCCUUCACCCCCUCCACCUCCAACCCACUGAAAAAAACUGCUCCACACAUGUAUCUCCCAAAACUGAUGGUUCUCUUCAACACGCUUUCAUAACAGACAAGAGAAUGAUGCAGAGGCAAUAUUAGAUGAGGUAUGUUAGAAAUUGGGGAAAAGGUGAGACAGGCACCUCUGAGUUCAUGCCAACUGUCUGGCACCAAACGAACUUCCAAGCAGUUAACCAUCUAAAUCCGGUGUGUGCAAUUUUCAAACACACAGUAAACCUCCUGAAGCCUCUCCUGUCUUACUGUAAAGAAAAUAUACCGUUUUUCACCACUUAAGAGGCUACACUGAAUCCAUUCCUUUCACUUUAUUUUUUUUUAAAUUUACGAGUGUCUACUGCAUCAUAUAAAAGAGCUUUUACUUUUGUAGCAGGGCCUGUAAAAAUGCUGUUCACACAUAUGCAGGAAGCAUUUUACUGCUUUAACGGCCUCCGAAGGGUCACUUCUCUUUCAAUGAAGUAUCCACAAACAGCUUAUGAUAUUCAUAAGGCUGAAAGUAAAGACAUGUAUGUCUAAAUGUUGUGUAAA
This is a long non-coding RNA of Amphiprion ocellaris (clown anemonefish), 1020 nucleotides long. RefSeq lists it as uncharacterized. Lineage: Eukaryota; Metazoa; Chordata; Actinopteri; Pomacentridae. The transcript is spliced from 2 exons. The record is from RefSeq and is a predicted model, not a curated record.